GAAGAGCUGUAAGCUCAGUGGUAGAGCCCUUGCUUUGAUGCAAAAGGUUCCAGGUUCAAUCACUGGCAUCUUCA
Non-coding RNA from Podarcis lilfordi (Lilford's wall lizard), 74 nucleotides. Lineage: Eukaryota; Metazoa; Chordata; Lepidosauria; Squamata; Lacertidae. The record is from the annotation of a GenBank genome assembly.